UUUGUAUACUUAUCAGUUGAAUGUUCGCACUUGGAACGUAAAUAUGCAGUACUCUAAUGGUCAUACCAUUGCUCCGAAUUCCUUGGAAUAUGAUGAAGUUUUAGAGAAAAUAGGUUACGGUAAGACCCAGUGGGUACUACUUCUAAUGAGUGGCCUUUUAACAAUUACUUCUGUGGCUGCUCAACAAUCAAUGAGUAUUAUUGUUCUCGCAUCCCACUGCGAGUUCAAAACAACAGAAGCCGAAAAGGGCGUCAUGAUGGCGGCAUGUGUAGCUGGGGUUUUUCUCUCAACCUAUAUAUGGGGAUAUGUCAGCGACGCUAUUGGACGACGUACAGUUUUACUAACCGGAAUUUUUAUAAGUUGUGGCCUUUUAUUUAUUCUAAUGUUUGUAACAAGCGUUUGGCUAUUUAACAUUAUUAAUUUGCUUUCUGGUAUCAGAUUUCAUUUAAUUUGCUUGACAUACAAUGUAUGUAUAUAGGUUUCAAAAAGCGCAAUGGGUGCAAAGGAGAAAAUCGGAGAGGAUAUAAAGGAGAAGCUCCAUAUUGGAAUGUAUACCCUUACUGAGAAGAAAGGCCGAUGCGAAGUGUGGCAAUUUUUCUCAGAAAUAAAAAAACGAAAAUGGAGAGGAAUUGGCUGAACUUGUUGCCUGUAAGAUGUGUUUUUCUGUUUUUAAGUUUACAGGAAGCACAUGUAACCUGGUCAAGCAUAAAUGUUAUUUAGUAAAUGGCAGUAAAUUUUGCAAAGCUUCACCUAUUGAUGUAAAUUCAGCAAGGAAACAGGAGGGAGUAGCUGUUGUUACCGGAUGGGUUGUUCAGAACUGUCGUCCAUUAAAAAUUAUAGACGACUCCGACCUUAAGAAGUUUGCAUCAUUUUUAAUUAAGGUUGGAGCAACGUUUGGUUCUAAUGUAGACGUUAAUAAAUUGUUACCACAUCCAACAACAAUAUCUCGAAAUAUAACAAUGAUUUAUGAGUCACACUUUUGCCCAAUAAAAAUCGAAAUAGAAAAAUAUAAAGCCUUUGGAUAUGCCAUCACCAGUGACAUAUGGACUGAUAAUUGUUUGAAAUCAUCGUAUUUGUCCUGUCCUGCACUACAUAAAGAAGGGAGUUCUUCUUAAGCGUUUAAUGGCCAUGAAGACAAUGAAAGAAAUGUCGUGCACAGGUUCAAAUAUUCGUGCAAAAAUAGAGGAGAUAUUGAAAGGCUUCGGAUGUGACCUUGAAGUGGAUAAUCCCAUAAUUGUAACCGAUCGUGGGUCUAAUAUGAUUAAAGCCUUCUCGAUUCCGAGAAAAUUUAUUGCGUCAACCAUCCACUGAACAAUGGUCUUGAAAAAGCUAUCGAUGCUGUUCCUGAGAUGGGGAUUAUCAUCACGACUUGAAGCAAGCUGACAAAAUAUUUUAAAAAGUCUGGAAUGAAUUCAUCUUUAGGAUUCUCCAUAAAAAGCUUUUACCCCA
RNA transcript from Drosophila montana, 1449 nucleotides. It is a transcript of the gene named synaptic vesicle 2-related protein-like, with no coding region annotated. The transcript is spliced from 5 exons. NCBI's taxonomy places the organism in Eukaryota, Metazoa, Arthropoda, Insecta, Diptera, Drosophilidae. The record is from RefSeq and is a predicted model, not a curated record.